This 609-nucleotide ribosomal RNA is filed under the name uncultured bacterium. RNAcentral describes it as "bacterial SSU rRNA". The stretch from base 1 to 527 matches the Rfam family "Bacterial small subunit ribosomal RNA", at positions 338 to 873 of the family's 1533-position model. The record is from RNAcentral.
CCUACGGGAGGCAGCAGUGGGGAAUCUUGCGCAAUGGGCGAAAGCCUGACGCAGCCAUGCCGCGUGAAUGAUGAAGGUCUUAGGAUUGUAAAAUUCUUUCACCGGGGACGAUAAUGACGGUACCCGGAGAAGAAGCCCCGGCUAACUUCGUGCCAGCAGCCGCGGUAAUACGAAGGGGGCUAGCGUUGCUCGGAAUUACUGGGCGUAAAGGGAGCGUAGGCGGAUAGUUUAGUCAGAGGUGAAAGCCCAGGGCUCAACCUUGGAAUUGCCUUUGAUACUGGCUAUCUUGAGUGUGGGAGAGGUUAGCGGAACUCCGAGUGUAGAGGUGAAAUUCGUAGAUAUUCGGAAGAACACCAGUGGCGAAGGCGGCUAACUGGCCCAUUACUGACGCUGAGGCUCGAAAGCGUGGGGAGCAAACAGGAUUAGAUACCCUGGUAGUCCACGCCGUAAACCGAUGAGUGCUAGUUGUCGGUCGAUGCAUGCAUGUCGGUGGUACGCGAGCUAACCGACAUUAAGUACACUCCGCCGUCGGGGAGGUACGGUCGCGAGAUAAACUACAAGAAGUAGACGCGUGAGACGUGCCGACGGACGACGACGAGGGAGGUUAGG